CAGGCUUAACACAUGCAAGUCGAGGGGCAGCAUUUUAGUUUGCUUGCAAACUGAAGAUGGCGACCGGCGCACGGGUGAGUAACACGUAUCCAACCUGCCGAUAACUCCGGGAUAGCCUUUCGAAAGAAAGAUUAAUACCGGAUAGCAUACGAAUAUCGCAUGAUAUUUUUAUUAAAGAAUUUCGGUUAUCGAUGGGGAUGCGUUCCAUUAGUUUGUUGGCGGGGUAACGGCCCACCAAGACUACGAUGGAUAGGGGUUCUGAGAGGAAGGUCCCCCACAUUGGAACUGAGACACGGUCCAAACUCCUACGGGAGGCAGCAGUGAGGAAUAUUGGUCAAUGGGCGCGAGCCUGAACCAGCCAAGUAGCGUGAAGGAUGAAGGCUCUAUGGGUCGUAAACUUCUUUUAUAUGGGAAUAAAGUUUUCCACGUGUGGAAUUUUGUAUGUACCAUAUGAAUAAGGAUCGGCUAACUCCGUGCCAGCAGCCGCGGUAAUACGGAGGAUCCGAGCGUUAUCCGGAUUUAUUGGGUUUAAAGGGAGCGUAGGUGGAUUGUUAAGUCAGUUGUGAAAGUUUGCGGCUCAACCGUAAAAUUGCAGUUGAAACUGGCAGUCUUGAGUACAGUAGAGGUGGGCGGAAUUCGUGGUGUAGCGGUGAAAUGCUUAGAUAUCACGAAGAACUCCGAUUGCGAAGGCAGCUCACUAGACUGUCACUGACACUGAUGCUCGAAAGUGUGGGUAUCAAACAGGAUUAGAUACCCUGGUAGUCCACACAGUAAACGAUGAAUACUCGCUGUUUGCGAUAUACAGUAAGCGGCCAAGCGAAAGCAUUAAGUAUUCCACCUGGGGAGUACGCCGGCAACGGUGAAACUCAAAGGAAUUGACGGGGGCCCGCACAAGCGGAGGAACAUGUGGUUUAAUUCGAUGAUACGCGAGGAACCUUACCCGGGCUUAAAUUGCAACAGAAUAUAUUGGAAACAGUAUAGCCGUAAGGCUGUUGUGAAGGUGCUGCAUGGUUGUCGUCAGCUCGUGCCGUGAGGUGUCGGCUUAAGUGCCAUAACGAGCGCAACCCUUAUCUUUAGUUACUAACAGGUCAUGCUGAGGACUCUAGAGAGACUGCCGUCGUAAGAUGUGAGGAAGGUGGGGAUGACGUCAAAUCAGCACGGCCCUUACGUCCGGGGCUACACACGUGUUACAAUGGGGGGUACAGAAGGCGGCUACCUGGUGACAGGAUGCUAAUCCCAAAAACCUCUCUCAGUUCGGAUCGAAGUCUGCAACCCGACUUCGUGAAGCUGGAUUCGCUAGUAAUCGCGCAUCAGCCAUGGCGCGGUGAAUACGUUCCCGGGCCUUGUACACACCGCCCGUCAAGCCAUGAAAGCCGGGGGUACCUGAAGUACGUAACCGCAAGGAGCGUCCUAGGGUAAAACUGGUAAUUGG
This 1432-nucleotide ribosomal RNA is filed under the name uncultured organism. RNAcentral describes it as "16S ribosomal RNA". It matches the Rfam family "Bacterial small subunit ribosomal RNA". The record is from RNAcentral.